RNAcentral lists this ribosomal RNA (478 nucleotides) under uncultured bacterium. RNAcentral describes it as "partial 16S ribosomal RNA". It matches the Rfam family "Bacterial small subunit ribosomal RNA", at positions 28 to 523 of the family's 1533-position model. The record is from RNAcentral.
GAUGAACGCUGGCGGCGUGCUUAACACAUGCAAGUCGAACGGUAAGGCCCUUCGGGGUACACGAGUGGCGAACGGGUGAGUAACACGUGGGUGAUCUGCCCUGCACUUCGGGAUAAGCCUGGGAAACUGGGUCUAAUACCGGAUAGGACCACUGCCUGCAUGGGUGGUGGUGGAAAGCUUUUGCGGUGUGGGAUGGGCCCGCGGCCUGUCAGCUUGUUGGUGGGGUGAUGGCCUACCAAGGCGACGACGGGUAGCCGGCCUGAGGGGGUGACCGGCCGCACUGGGACUGAGAUACGGCCCAGACUCCUACGGGAGGCAGCAGUGGGGAAUGGUGCACAAUGGGCGCAAGCCUGAUGCAGCGGCGCGGCGUGAGGGAUGACGGCCUUCGGGUUGUAAACCUCUUUCAGCACCGACGAAGCGCAAGUGACGGUAGGUGCAGAAGAAGGACCGGCCAACUACGUGCCAGCCGCCGCGGUAA